AGUUUGAUCCUGGCUCAGGAUGAACGCUAGCUACAGGCUUAACACAUGCAAGUCGAGGGGCAUCAGUUUGGUUUGCUUGCAAACCAAAGCUGGCGACCGGCGCACGGGUGAGUAACACGUAUCCAACCUACCUCAUACUCGGGGAUAGCCUUUCGAAAGAAAGAUUAAUAUCCGAUAGCAUAUAUUUCCCGCAUGGGUUUUAUAUUAAAGAAAUUCGGUAUGAGAUGGGGAUGCGUUCCAUUAGUUUGUUGGGGGGGUAACGGCCCACCAAGACUACGAUGGAUAGGGGUUCUGAGAGGAAGGUCCCCCACAUUGGAACUGAGACACGGUCCAAACUCCUACGGGAGGCAGCGGUGAGGAAUAUUGGUCAAUGGACGAGAGUCUGAACCAGCCAAGUAGCGUGCAGGAAGACGGCCCUAUGGGUUGUAAACUGCUUUUAUAAGGGAAUAAAGUGAGUCUCGUGAGACUUUUUGCAUGUACCUUAUGAAUAAGGACCGGCUAAUUCCGUGCCAGCAGCCGCGGUAAUACGGAAGGUCCGGGCGUUAUCCGGAUUUAUUGGGUUUAAAGGGAGCGUGGGCCGGAGAUUAAGCGUGUUGUGAAAUGUAGACGCUCAACGUCUGCACUGCAGCGCGAACUGGUUUCCUUGAGUACGCACAAAGUGGGCGGAAUUCGUGGUGUAGCGGUGAAAUGCUUAGACAUCACGAAGAACUCCGAUUGCGAAGGCAGCUCACUGGAGCGCAACUGACGCUGAAGCUCGAAAGUGCGGGUAUCGAACAGGAUUAGAUACCCUGGUAGUCCGCACGGUAAACGAUGGAUGCCCGCUGUUGGUCUGAAUAGGUCAGCGGCCAAGCGAAAGCAUUAAGCAUCCCACCUGGGGAGUACGCCGGCAACGGUGAA
RNAcentral lists this ribosomal RNA (897 nucleotides) under uncultured bacterium. RNAcentral's name for it is "bacterial SSU rRNA". It matches the Rfam family "Bacterial small subunit ribosomal RNA", at positions 10 to 898 of the family's 1533-position model. The record is from RNAcentral.